UCCGAUCUAGUCGAAAUUGAUAGCUGUCUUUUCAACAGGAAAAUACAGCUAUCAAUUUCGACUCUAAAAAUCUUUUCUCUUAAGUGGAUAGCGAAGUGAGGAUUUCAUAAUUAUUUUCCCGUUUUUAGAAUAAUUCUCCUCUUUGGAAAAAACGUUUAUCACAGGUGAAACUUCGACUAUCAAGUCGUCGUGAUAGGACUGAUGGUAGUGUAUACGCAGCGCAUGGCUCCCCAUAAAUUACCCGAUUUACGCAGAAGACCUGUUUGUAUUACGGGGUGUGGUAACACAAAUCAGAAUUCGCGGAAACAACAGUAAGGAGUUGGAACAGUCAGCUUUCUGUAACGGCUCUAACUUUACUGGAAAUAGGUUUUGUUUUGUUGGGAAAAUGAAGAGAAUGUUUAGUAACGCUUAUCGGAAAUGUAUGUGAACGGUAUUGUUGUUGACUGUCGGAUAACCUGAUUCAAUUUGUCGACUGUGCUCGCUAAAAAACAUCAAACAUGGAAUAUUGGAUGCCGAAAAUGCGAAAUCUGCUCGCAGUAUAGACAUUUGAAAGAGUUUUUGCAAUUUGCCCUUCGAAACCCGUCAAUUUUUUCUUCGGAUGCAUCACUAUUAAAAGUCAUAUAAGGUUCUACUCAUCUGUAAGUCCUGGCAACAAACGUGUUCAAACAAAUGACUGAUAUUGAUUUCUUAGGAGUAGGGUUUAUAACAGGAUUCGUGUGUGACUUGUGUUACACGAAUGCCAAAUGUCUCACACUGCGCGUCGGUACGCUGCUAAAACGACAUAUUUUAACGAGUUGUCCAUGCAACCGGAUCGAAUCAGACACAGUCCGAAGGGAGAAUAUAAUUAUUCACUCAAUAUUCCAUUCUCCCCUUCCAUACUGUGCUGAUUUGGCGACAGACAAAUCUUAGGCGACUCCAA
This 919-nucleotide long non-coding RNA is filed under the name Androctonus crassicauda. The record is from RNAcentral. Lineage: Eukaryota; Metazoa; Arthropoda; Arachnida; Scorpiones; Buthidae.